This 413-nucleotide ribosomal RNA is filed under the name uncultured soil bacterium. Its description in RNAcentral is "bacterial SSU rRNA". It matches the Rfam family "Bacterial small subunit ribosomal RNA", at positions 26 to 437 of the family's 1533-position model. The record is from RNAcentral.
AGGACGAACGCUGGCGGCGUGCUUAACACAUGCAAGUCGAGCGGAAAGGCCCUUCGGGGUACUCGAGCGGCGAACGGGUGAGUAACACGUGAGUAAUCUGCCCAUCGCUUCAGGAUAGCCAUCGGAAACGGUGAUUAAUACUGGAUAUGACAUUCCUUCGCAUGCUGGGGUGUGGAAAGUUUUUUCGGCGGUGGAUGUGCUCGCGGCCUAUCAGCUUGUUGGUGGGGUAAUGGCCUACCAAGGCUUUGACGGUAGCCGGCUGAGAGGGUGACCGGCCACACGUGGGACUGAGACACGGCCCAGACUCCUACGGGAGCAGCAGGUGGGGAAUAGUGGACAAUGGGCGAAGCCUGAUCCGAGCCAACGCCGCGUGGAGGAGUCGGACCGGUCCGUUCGGGUUACGUUAACCGUUC